GAUGAAGAACGUAGCGAAAUGCGAUACGUAAUGUGAAUUGCAGAAUUCAGUGAAUCAUCGAGUCUUUGAACGCACAUUGCGCCCCCUGGUAUUCCGGGGGGCAUGCCUGUCCGAGCGUCAUUGCUGCCCUCAAGCACGGCUUGUGUGUUGGGCCUCCGUCCUCCUCCCGGGGGACGGGCCCGAAAGGCAGCGGCGGCACCGCGUCCGGUCCUCGAGCGUAUGGGGCUUCGUCACCCGCUCUUGUAGGCCCGGUCGGCGCUUGCCGACACAUCAAUCUUUUUUCCAGGUUGACCUCGGAUCAGGUAGGGAUACCCGCUGAACUUAAGCAUAUCAAUAAGGGAGGA
Molecule: unclassified non-coding RNA, 344 nt
Filed under: soil metagenome
Description: partial contains 5.8S ribosomal RNA, internal transcribed spacer 2, and large subunit ribosomal RNA
Rfam family: 5.8S ribosomal RNA (bases 1-120)
Source: RNAcentral